Molecule: long non-coding RNA, 647 nt
Organism: Micropterus dolomieu (smallmouth bass)
Lineage: Eukaryota; Metazoa; Chordata; Actinopteri; Centrarchiformes; Centrarchidae
Exons: 2
Source: RefSeq, a predicted model, not a curated record
GACAUGUGGUAUUCUCUUCCGGGGAGCUCGCAGUAGCAGCUGUAUCCAAAGCAAACAUGGGAACAGGCGCGAGAGAGUCAGAAGACCUUAAAAUGUUUAAAUCUAAAGCAGCGUCGGUCCCUUUACCGAAAUACUCCUAUUGGUUUGACUUUUGGGCAUUCGUGGUCUUUGACAUCGUGUUUUUCCUCGUCAUGUAUUUCAUAGUGCCGUAAAAAGGUUUGUCCCAUGGGAUGGAGCCUGAAGACACGGAGGCCUGGUCCUGCCGUCAGGAACACUAACCCAGCUUUGACUGAAUAUAGCGGCACUUUAUUGGAUAUCACAUCCCAAGUUUCCACAGCUUGGACCCUGAAACCACCUGAUUGCUGUGUUAUAUAAUUCCCUCUGUGACCUGUUGCCAGUUGCUGUGUACUGCCUGGAUGGAUUCAUGGUGUUGCUGUGUGGAAGAAAUAAAUUCCAAGUGUUUCUAAUGAAAAGCGGCAGUGUCCGUUUGAUAUUCCAGUGUUGUGGUAGGGGGGCUUGUGACGACAGCAGAGAAACAAGACACCAUGAACAAUAUGAUGUUGUGGAGUAUGAGUCCAACAUACUAAAGUCUUAAAAGUUUGCACGUGGAAAAUACUGCAAAUAAAGUAUUUUGCCUACCUGCUAAA